RNAcentral lists this ribosomal RNA (284 nucleotides) under uncultured bacterium. RNAcentral's name for it is "partial 16S ribosomal RNA". It matches the Rfam family "Bacterial small subunit ribosomal RNA", at positions 333 to 614 of the family's 1533-position model. The record is from RNAcentral.
UAAGCCCUACGGGGGGCAGCAGUGAGGAAUAUUGGUCAAUGGACGCAAGUCUGAACCAGCCAUGCCGCGUGCAGGAAGACGGCUCUAUGAGUUGUAAACUGCUUUUGUACGAGGGUAAAUGCAGGUACGUGUAUCUGUUUGAAAGUAUCGCACGAAUAAGGAUCGGCUAACUCCGUGCCAGCAGCCGCGGUAAUACGGAGGAUCCGAGCGUUCUCCGGAUUUAUUGGGUUUAAAGGGUGCGUAGGCGGUUUUAUAAGUUAGUGGUGAAAUCUCGGGGCUCAACU